This is a long non-coding RNA of Carassius carassius (crucian carp), 569 nucleotides long. RefSeq lists it as uncharacterized. The record is from RefSeq and is a predicted model, not a curated record. NCBI's taxonomy places the organism in Eukaryota, Metazoa, Chordata, Actinopteri, Cypriniformes, Cyprinidae. The transcript has 4 exons.
GCAGAUCUCCAAACCAAGAUAAACCUGCCAACCAGUACAACAAAGGAAAACAGAAAAGUUCAUCCACUCUUUCUCAAUGGCUCAUGGCUUUCAGUAGUGCUGGUUUUAAUUGGUAUUGGUUUAUUUCUGCCUGGACUCAUAGGAUUCAUCUGUCUGUUCCGCUUUAGCAGUUCUGCUGAUGUUCUCACAGAGGUGAACUACGUCUCCUGCCAGAUGGAAACAACAUCUCUUUUAACUUCAUCUGUGUGCUCCUCAAAAAUGUUAAAUGUAAAUGAAAGCACCUGAGUGUCAUCUGUGGAGUUCAGUAAUGCCGAAUCAGUAAUAUUAAGAAAUAUUACAUCUAAUUAACAGUUCUUAAAAUACUUUUUAAAUCAAAUAUUGGAACAUAUACUGUACAUGUACACAAAGUUUCAGAAAGUUGAAAAAUUUCACAAAAUUAGCAUAGUGACUUACUUCUUUAUGUUGUAUUAUUUUCUCUAUCGAUUAAUGUUUUAUGCAUUGUUGAGCAAACAUGUACACAAUAAAGUGACUUUAAAGUGAAUAAUGUAUUCCACAGUCUUAAUUUGAUA